ACCAUUGGUGUCAUCCAUGGAUUAGUAUCUGGUUGGCAGUGAUACUGUGUCUUUUUUUUUUUUUCCAGGGCUGCAGCUUCUAACUCUGGAAUGAACCUGCAUUUCCAGCCUCAGCCGUUCAUCGGCUGAAAGAAGAAGGAUAAUUGAAUUUAUACACUUCUACCUCUCCACGCAUGAAGGCUUUCUAUUCCUCAGGGGUGCACGCUGAGGAGGAAUGCCUCAAAGUUUCUGUUAUUUUUUAUUAAACUUGAUUUCGUCUGGAGAAAAAACAAAAUCUAUCAGACACCCACAAUCCAGCCAAAGAGAGAGAGGAAGAAUGCUCAGGUGGGAAGGUAAGGCAGGUGUCAGCGGAAAUACACUCCGGUUCCCUUCUCACCAAAUGGAGUUUGAUUUUUGAUGUGAGAAGAUACGGAACAGAAUAGAGGCCUUGGAAAUAAAUCCAGACAUUUGCAGCCAGCUGAUUUUCAUCAAAGGCACUGAGAACUUCCUCUGGGGAAGAGACACCCUCGUCAGUAAGUGGUGCUGAGAAAACUGGAUGCCAGACACAAAGGAAUAGAACUAGACCCCUGCCUCCCAGCAUACACAAAAACUCAACCCCAAAUGGAUUAAAGGCUUAAAGGUCUAUUCACUACAGCCAAGAUACAGCAUCAACCAAAGUGCCCAUUAACAGGGGAAUAGGCAAAGAAAAUGUGGCCUGUACACACGGUGGAAUAUUAUGCAGCCAUAAACAAGAUUGACGUCUCAUCAUUUGCAGCAACCUGGGUGAACCUAGAGGACAUUGUGCUAAGAGGGAUAAGAGCGAGGCACAGAAAGGCAAAGUCGUACCUCCGAGAGGAUGUGCCUCAAUGGUCGAUCUGUCCAUUGAUGACGUUCUUCACACCAGCGUGAGAACCAAGUCCCCACUGGUGGACGUCGGGGUUUGUUUCUGCUCGGUGUGCCUCCCUCACCCCGUAAGGGAGAUUCGGACAGACAUCGAGGUAGCCCGGAGGCUACAGCCGGACGGUGAGGAGUGGGCAGGAGGGAAUGGCAGUCAGGGGAGACCCGGCUGCCACUGAGGUGAGUGAGCUGAUGCUCACGUCGGAAUGCCAAAUAGGUUCCCCAUCUCACUGCCGCUGGGCUCUUAGUGGUCCUCCAAAACUGCUGAGAAGUGAGGGACGGUUGCACCAGCCAGUUGUCAUGCAGAAUGACCUACCCCUGUCCCCAGCACCAUUCACAAUGUGCGUGACUCUCAGUAGGUAAAACGAGGCGCGGUGCUCAUUGCAGCAAACCGAGAGAAAUCACUAACAACUUAAAAAUCUUAAAAUUGGGGUUUACCCUGCGGGGAAUAAAACAUGCAUUUU
Long non-coding RNA from Microcebus murinus (gray mouse lemur), 1340 nucleotides. RefSeq lists it as uncharacterized. The record is from RefSeq and is a predicted model, not a curated record. Lineage: Eukaryota; Metazoa; Chordata; Mammalia; Primates; Cheirogaleidae.